AUACGGAGGGUGCAAGCGUUGUUCGGAAUUAUUGGGCGUAAAGAGCAUGUAGGCGGACUAUUAAGUCUGGUGUGAAAGCCCGGGGCUCUACCCCGGAAGUGCAUUGGAUACUGGUAGUCUUGAGUAUGGGAGAGGAAAGUGGAAUUCCGAGUGUAGGAGUGAAAUCCGUAGAUAUUCGGAGGAACACCAGUGGCGAAGGCGGCUUUCUGGACCAAUACUGACGCUGAGAUGCGAAAGCGUGGGGAGCGAACAGGAUUAGAAACCCUAGUAGUCC
Molecule: ribosomal RNA, 274 nt
Filed under: uncultured bacterium
Lineage: Bacteria
Description: partial 16S ribosomal RNA
Rfam family: Bacterial small subunit ribosomal RNA
Source: RNAcentral